GAAUAUGAAAUGAUUGCAUAUACUGUAGUAUAAGAAAAGUGUGAUUGACUUCGGGGUUUUCUAUUGCUGUUUUUGUAUAACGUACUUUGAGGUCACUGAUACUCCACCUGAUGUGGUGGAAGUGUCGAACCAGAUCAGAACGCCUUCGAAGACCACCUUCAGGCGCGGACUUAAAAAACUUCCACAUCCUUUUACCAGGUGAGACUGAACAUGGACAGGGUACAUGAGAAAACGGAGAGCCACCGGAGUAGAAUCAAGGUGACCAAGAGGUUCGACAUCUGGGCAAAUGACUUAGCUUGAAAGGAAGACGAGACCCGGGAAAGCUUGGUGCUUCUAGCUGGGGUCACCAUCCGUUAUUAAGGUGAAUAUACAAAUCUCAGAUAACUAUUUUCAUUUGCCAUCUCGUGGUGUGCGGCAUUGCCAUGUUGUCAGCAGUACCAACACUGGCCCAGGGGGUUCUCCAAAUAGUCAAUCUCAAGGCUAACUACUGGGUCACGCUGAGUAACCGCCACUUCCAGUGUACGAAAGACUGAUGAGAGUAAAUAUUAGUUAAUUAUAGGAGAGCUGUAGCUCCGGCAACCGGUGAUGUGGAGCAGAGCAUGCUGGGCGAUCUCUAACUAAGGAGUAGGAAGUAACUAGAGAGAGUACACAAGCCGUGAUAAAUUCCAGCCAUCUCAUGUGAUUACCCCCAGUUAGCAUUCUUUGUUUUAGCCAAGGCCAGUGGGUGUCCUUCAGAAAUGUGAGUUCAUGUUUCUUACAAUUCAUGUGUUUGUUAUGCUAAUUAGCGUUUUUACCGUGAGCUAGCAACUGUAAGCUUGCUAACCCUGUUGUUUCUGUCAUCUCAUUUCAGACAUUUCGCAUUUCAGUGUCUAGUCUUAUAUGCCCUGUGGUUAUAUUGAUGUAUACUGUUUACUGAUUAUGUGGGUAUUUGUUUGAGCAAUGAGCCUUGUGGAUGCAUUAUACAUUCAAGUUGUGUGAGGAUGAUGGUGCUGAUCAGUAGUACUGUGUAGUUACACUCUUCUGAUCAUUCAUUAGUGAAGUCACAGCCAUGUUGUUAACCAGCAGAUAACCAAUUGUAGCCAUAUUAUUUAUAGCUUAUGUAAUUGUAGGUUGUAUUAAGCCUAUAACCUGCCAUUUACUGUUGUAUUUAAUUUUCCCCUUUUCAGAACCACACAAACUCUUAGUUAACACAGUUGUCAAGCCAUACUGUGCUGUAUUUGCUCUGUUUAAUCAGCGUCAUUAAACAACCUCAACUGGCCUAUCAUCCGUGCCCUUACAAGCACCUGUGCUACGUAAAGUCCUCAACUACAUCCAGGACCUAGGAGUUAUGCCCAACACCCAGACAUGGAUCCACCUGAUGUCCUCCAUUACCAACCACACUCCAACUUUCCAUUACAUCAGCUACUGUUAUUGUCAUUAUCUGCUAAGAAAAAGCAAGCCAACUAUCAUACUGGGCUCAUUAUGUGAGAUACACAGAUUAGCUUAAAACACUAGCACUGCAAACACUCAGAACAAAGAGGGGAGCAGCGCCUGGAUUUUGCGGUCUCCUUCUUUGAGUCCACCUUCCAAGACGGACGACCUGUUGAAAACAAGUGACAGGCAGAACCUCCCAUCCACACAAUACCCACCUCCUCUCUGUUCCACACACCAGAAUUCAGCAUUUCAGUCUAUGAUUGCCAUGUGAGUGUACAAAAAAAUAAGUAAAUUGACACAUGUACCUAUAAAAUAUUGCCAGAUUGUUUUUUAUAGCUGUUUCAUAGGAUGUUCAUUAUUGUCAAUUGUAAGGUAUUCCUUGAUGGUAUUUGUUAAUUACAACAAUUAAUAAUGUUGA
Long non-coding RNA from Oncorhynchus tshawytscha (Chinook salmon), 1831 nucleotides. Lineage: Eukaryota; Metazoa; Chordata; Actinopteri; Salmoniformes; Salmonidae. The record is from Ensembl.